Molecule: ribosomal RNA, 301 nt
Filed under: uncultured bacterium
Lineage: Bacteria
Description: partial 16S ribosomal RNA
Rfam family: Bacterial small subunit ribosomal RNA
Source: RNAcentral
CAGCAGCCGCGGGAAUACGGAGGAUCCAAGCGUUAUCCGGAAUCAUUGGGUUUAAAGGGUCCGUAGGCGGUCUUGUAAGUCAGUGGUGAAAGCCCAUCGCUCAACGGUGGAACGGCCAUUGAUACUGCAGGACUUGAAUUAUUGGGAAGUAACUAGAAUAUGUAGUGUAGCGGUGAAAUGCUUAGAGAUUACAUGGAAUACCAAUUGCGAAGGCAGGUUACUACCAAUUGAUUGACGCUGAUGGACGAAAGCGUGGGUAGCGAACAGGAUUAGAUACCCGUGUAGUCCCUGUCUCUUAUAU